ACCGAUAGUGAACCAGUACCGUGAGGGAAAGGCGAAAAGAACCCCGGCGAGGGGAGUGAAAAAGAACCUGAAACCGUGUACGUACAAGCAGUGGGAGCACAGAGCAAUCUGUGUGACUGCGUACCUUUUGUAUAAUGGGUCAGCGACUUAUAUUCUGUAGCAAGGUUAACCGAAUAGGGGAGCCGAAGGGAAACCGAGUCUUAACCGGGCGUUAAGUUGCAGGGUAUAGACCCGAAACCCGGUGAUCUAGCCAUGGGCAGGUUGAAGGUUGGGUAACACUAACUGGAGGACCGAACCGACUAAUGUUGAAAAAUUAGCGGAUGACUUGUGGCUGGGGGUGAAAGGCCAAUCAAACCGGGAGAUAGCUGGUUCUCCCCGAAAGCUAUUUAGGUAGCGCCUCGUGAAUUCAUCUCCGGGGGUAGAGCACUGUUUCGGCAAGGGGGUCAUCCCGACUUACCAACCCGAUGCAAACUGCGAAUACCGGAGAAUGUUAUCACGGGAGACACACGGCGGGUGCUAACGUCCGUCGUGAAGAGGGAAACAACCCAGACCGCCAGCUAAGGUCCCAAAGUCAUGGUUAAGUGGGAAACGAUGUGGGAAGGCCCAGACAGCCAGGAUGUUGGCUUAGAAGCAGCCAUCAUUUAAAGAAAGCGUAAUAGCUCACUGGUCGAGUCGGCCUGCGCGGAAGAUGUAACGGGGCUAAACCAUGCACCGAAGCUGCGGCAGCGACACUGUGUGUUGUUGGGUAGGGGAGCGU
This 757-nucleotide ribosomal RNA is filed under the name Escherichia coli. RNAcentral's name for it is "partial 23S ribosomal RNA". It matches the Rfam family "Bacterial large subunit ribosomal RNA", at positions 483 to 1239 of the family's 2925-position model. Lineage: Bacteria; Pseudomonadati; Pseudomonadota; Gammaproteobacteria; Enterobacterales; Enterobacteriaceae. The record is from RNAcentral.